CUAACAUGUGUGCGAGUCAAUGGGUCUCGAAUAAGCCCAGAGGCGCAAUGAAAGCAAAGGCCGGACAUGACGCCGGCUGUGUUGGGAUCUCUCCGCCUACGAGCGGGGAGCGCACCAACGACCCGUCCUGUCCGAUUUAUCGGUGGGGCGGAGUCUGAGCAUACACGUUGGGACCCGAAAGAUGGUGAACUAUGCCCGGACAGGACGAGGCCAGAGGAAACUCUGGUGGAGGUCCGUAGCGGUUCUGACGUGCAAAUCGAUCGUCAGAUCCGGGUCUAGGGGCGAAAGACUAAUCGAACCAUCUA
This 305-nucleotide ribosomal RNA is filed under the name Latrodectus mactans (black widow). RNAcentral's name for it is "eukaryotic LSU rRNA". It matches the Rfam family "Eukaryotic large subunit ribosomal RNA", at positions 675 to 946 of the family's 3401-position model. Lineage: Eukaryota; Metazoa; Arthropoda; Arachnida; Araneae; Theridiidae. The record is from RNAcentral.